Molecule: long non-coding RNA, 330 nt
Organism: Peromyscus eremicus (cactus mouse)
Lineage: Eukaryota; Metazoa; Chordata; Mammalia; Rodentia; Cricetidae
Exons: 2
Source: RefSeq, a predicted model, not a curated record
CUGACAGGCGCCAUCUGGACAGCCCUUCCUUAGCUCCCACUGCGACGCCGCCCUCCAAGUGCCUUUCUGCGCAUGGGCAGCGACAACAGAGAGAGCUAAGGUGGCUUCCAGUUUGGAUCCUCCGGGAAUCACCAAGCAUGAGCCUACAGGCAUAAAGACCCACUAAGAGCCUAAAUAUUCCACUUCACUGCAAGAGCACCAGUGGCUGAGGACCAACCCUGCAACAUAGGAGCUUCACGCAGAGUUGAAGUGGAGGGAUAAAUGGUUACACAUAUAGUUCUCUAUCUACCAAGUUGAUAGUUUCAUAAAUUUCCCCAUCCUUUUACUUGA